Molecule: transfer RNA, 71 nt
Organism: Ovis aries (sheep)
Lineage: Eukaryota; Metazoa; Chordata; Mammalia; Artiodactyla; Bovidae
Rfam family: tRNA
About the family: Transfer RNA (tRNA) molecules are approximately 80 nucleotides in length.
Source: Rfam
UCCCUGGUGGCUCAAAGGUAAAGCAUCUGCCUGCAAUGCGGGAGACCUGGGUUCGAUCCCUGGGUUGGGAA